AUUGAACGCUGGCGGCAGGCCUAACACAUGCAAGUCGAACGAGUGGCGGACGGGUGAGUAAUGCCUGGGAAACUGCCUGCUGGAGGGGGAUAACUACUGGAAACGGUAGCUAAUACCGCAUACCCUCGGAUGUGCCCAGAUGGGAUUAGCUAGUAGGUGGGGUAACGGCUCACCUAGGCGACGCUCCCUAGCUGGUCGGAGAGGCUGACCAGCCACACUGGAACUCAGACACGGUCCAGCCUCCUACGGGAGGCAGCAGUGGGGAAUAUUGCACAAUGGGCGCAAGCCUGAUGCAGCCAUGCCGCGUGUAUGAAGAAGGCCUUCGGGUUGUAAAGUACUUUCAGCGGGGAGGCGUUACCCGCAGAAGAAGCACCGGCUAACUCCGUGCCAGCCGCCGCGGUAAUUC
Molecule: ribosomal RNA, 406 nt
Filed under: uncultured bacterium
Lineage: Bacteria
Description: partial 16S ribosomal RNA
Rfam family: Bacterial small subunit ribosomal RNA
Source: RNAcentral